This 202-nucleotide long non-coding RNA is filed under the name Mytilus galloprovincialis (Mediterranean mussel). The record is from RNAcentral. Lineage: Eukaryota; Metazoa; Mollusca; Bivalvia; Mytilida; Mytilidae.
UUGGGCUUUUGAUAUUGUCAUUCGAUUAGGGACUUUUCUUUUUGAAAUUUCCUAGUUCAGUAUUUUUGUGAUUUUACUUUUUGUAUAUUUGUCUUUAAAAUGGACCCUAGUUCUUCAGUUAAUUUUAGCAGUUAUACAUUGACCACUGACCUUUGACCUUAGGAAAAUAUUUUUGGAUGUGUUUCCUUCUUUCAAUAAAGAA